RNAcentral lists this ribosomal RNA (419 nucleotides) under Apeltes quadracus (fourspine stickleback). Its description in RNAcentral is "partial 16S ribosomal RNA". It matches the Rfam family "Bacterial large subunit ribosomal RNA", at positions 1996 to 2567 of the family's 2925-position model. The record is from RNAcentral. Lineage: Eukaryota; Metazoa; Chordata; Actinopteri; Perciformes; Gasterosteidae.
AUGCCAUAGCGAGGACGUAGCUGUGUCCUUUUUCCAGUCAAGUAAAUUGAUCUCCCCUUGCAGAAGCGGGGAUAAAAACAUAAGACGAGAAGACCCUAUGGAGCUCUACACACUAAAGUGGAUCGCGUCCAUAAGCCAUAAACAAAGGCAUGAAGCCAAAUGAACCCACCUUGAUUUCUUUGGUUGGGGCGACCGCGGGAAACUAAUUAACCGCCAUGUGGAAUGGGAAAACUCCUCCCACAGCUGAGAGUAACAACUCCAAUAAACAGAACUUGUGACCAAAAAGAUCCGGCAAUGCCGAUCAACGGACCUAGUUACCCUAGGGAUAACAGCGCAAUCCUCUUUUAGAGCCCAUAUCGACAAGGGGGUUUACGGCCUCGAUGUUGGAUCAGGACAUCCUAAUGGUGCAUCCGAUAUUA